This 403-nucleotide unclassified non-coding RNA is filed under the name soil metagenome. RNAcentral's name for it is "partial contains 5.8S ribosomal RNA, internal transcribed spacer 2, and large subunit ribosomal RNA". The stretch from base 1 to 121 matches the Rfam family "5.8S ribosomal RNA", at positions 35 to 154 of the family's 154-position model. The record is from RNAcentral.
GAUGAAGAACGUAGCGAAAUGCGAUAAGUAAUGUGAAUUGCAGAAUUCAGUGAAUCAUCGAAUCUUUGAACGCACCUUGCGCCCUUUGGCUAUUCCGAAGGGCAUGCCUGUUUGAGUAUCAUGAACACCUCAACUCUCAUGGCUUGCCAUGAUGAGCUUGGACUUCUGGGGGUCUUGCUGGCCUGUGGUCAGCUCCUCUCAAAUGAAUUAGCCUGCCAGUGUUUGGUGGCAUCACAGGUGUGAUAACUAUCUACGCUUGUGGUUUUCCACCAGGUAACCUUCAGUGAUGAAGGUUCGCUGGGGCUCAUAAACGUCUCUCCUCAGUGAGGACAGCUCUUUGAACGUUUGAUCUCAAAUCAGGUAGGACUACCCGCUGAACUUAAGCAUAUCAAUAAGCGGAGGA